Molecule: small RNA, 4252 nt
Filed under: Pongo abelii (Sumatran orangutan)
Lineage: Eukaryota; Metazoa; Chordata; Mammalia; Primates; Hominidae
Description: retained intron
Source: RNAcentral
AGACGCGACUGGUGGGUGGCACGGCCACCUGUAUGCUUCUUGGACAGUGCGAGGGGUGGGGGGACUUGGAGACAGAAGCUGGAAAAUGGGCUGCCCCAACAGCAAACUGUGCCUCUAUUCUCCAUGUGCAGCAACAAGGCGGGAGGAAGCGCUGAAACAACACAAAACCCUAUCUCAAGAACUUGUUAACCUCCGGGGAGAGCUAGUCACUGCUUCAACCACCUGUGAGAAAUUAGAAGAAGCCAGGAAUGAGUUACAAACAGCGUAUGAAGCAUUUGUCCAGCAGCACCAGGCUGAAAAAACAGAACGAGAGAAUCGGCUUAAAGAAUUUUACACCAGGGAGUAUGAAAAGCUUCGGGACACUUACAUUGAAGAAGCAGAGAAGUACAAAAUGCAAUUGCAAGAGCAGUUUGACAACUUAAAUGCUGCCCAUGAAACGUCUAAGUUGGAAAUUGAAGCUAGCCACUCGGAAAAAGUUGAAUUGCUAAAGAAGGCCUAUGAAGCCUCCCUUUCAGGCAAGGAUGCUUUUUUUCCUCUUUAAACAAUAAAAUCUGAAGGAACCACAUGAUAUGUUUUAAGAUGGAAAUGAUUCAUAACUUUCUGCUUCAGCGAAUGCCCUGUGGCCGUCAGGCUGGGGUGUUCUUGGUUCCUUUUUGCAUUGUUUAUUGUUAACAGAUGCCUUUUCCCACUAAGGAUGCAAAUAAUAGUUACAAAUGCCAGCCUUCUGUUGAAUAGGAUGGGCUUUGGAAGAUUGUAAAGGCCAUUUUGGGGGCGGUGGUUGCCAGCUUAGGUUCCUGGGAAGUGGAAAGUACAAGUUUCUAUCUUGUAAUCCACAGUAAAGGAUCCACCCCAAGUGCUCCUGCACAGCAGCGGUGCUGUGAAAUGUCAAUGCCACUUACUGAAUAGAAAAACAGUCUUUUCUAUUUUUCAUCUGUCAUCAGUGGGAGGGUGUAAGCCAUUGCUUUCAGAACAGAAUCGGCAGUGUCGCUCAGUCUUUCUACUAAACCAGUUGCAUUUUACAGAGCAGCAUGGUUGAGUGCUAAGAACCGGCUGUGUGACCUUUAGCAAGGACUUUCUCACCAGAAAAAUAGAGUUGCCCAAAGUCAGGCAGAGAUGAUAACGUGUAAAAGUGACUGGCCCCAGGCAGACUUUUAGUAAACAUUGGUUUUCUUCCUUCCUGCUAGAAAUGAGUAUAAUUUUAGACUUAUGUUUAGGUCAUGAAGAGCAAAUUGAAAAGAGCACAGGGUUUCCAGACCAGGAGUCUGGAGUGGCAUUUAUGAGAGCCUGCCCUGAAAUGGCACUCAGUGUUGUCCUAAGGUCGCAUGGCCUCUGUGGGCCUUGGUGGGCCUCAGGGCUCUCAGUCAUAAAAUGGGAAUGUCUACCCUAACCACCUCUCAAGGCCAUUUUGAGAACAGAUGGCCAAUUUACAUAAAAGCAUACUAUAGAUAUAAAGUAACGUCAUAUGGCUUCAUCAUCAACCCCUACAUCUAUAUGCUUUACUGUUUUAGAGUACAUUGAUCUCAUAGAAUGUUAUUGCCUCAAAAAUUUCCUUUUAUUUUCCCAGAAAUUAAGAAAGGCCAUGAAAUAGAAAAGAAAUCGCUUGAAGAUUUACUUUCUGAGAAGCAGGAAUCGCUAGAGAAGCAAAUCAACGAUCUGAAGAGUGAAAAUGAUGCUUUAAAUGAAAAAUUGAAAUCAGAAGAACAAAAAAGAAGAGCAAGAGAGAAAGCAAAUUUGAAAAAUCCUCAGAUCAUGUAUCUGGAACAGGAGUUAGAAAGCCUGAAAGCUGUGUUAGAGAUCAAGAAUGAGAAACUGCAUCAACAGGACAUCAAGUUAAUGAAAAUGGAGAAACUGGUGGACAACAACACAGCAUUGGUUGACAAAUUGAAGCGAUUCCAGCAGGAGAAUGAAGAAUUAAAAGCUCGGAUGGAUAAGCACAUGGCAAUUUCAAGGCAACUUUCCACAGAGCAGGCCGUUCUGCAAGAGUCGCUGGAGAAGGAGUCGAAAGUCAACAAGCGACUCUCUAUGGAAAACGAGGAGCUUCUGUGGAAGCUGCACAAUGGGGACCUGUGUAGCCCCAAGAGAUCCCCCACGUCCUCCGCCAUCCCUUUCCAGUCACCAAGGAAUUCGGGCUCCUUCCCCAGCCCCAGCAUUUCACCCAGAUGACACCUCCCCCAAAGUCCACAGACUCUCGGAAAGCAUUUUGAUACAGGUCUGCAGGACUGACCCCAAGGAGGAAUAUGGGCACAGAGGUAUAUCAGCACACGUGUGAUCACCGUAGGAUAACUGGAGCGUCACCACCGCCGGAAUCUCAGCUUCUGAGACUGGAACUCUGGAGGAAGACUUUUGCCUCCGUCCAAAAGAUUCCUCCAAAAAAAGAUGUCGGCAUCGACACGGACGUUGUUGCACAAAGCACUUAAAGAACGAGAGCAUCUUGUUCAUCGCCUUUUUCACCUAAGCAUAGGGGGAAAAACUCUCAGGGCCCUAUUAAGAUAAAGAUUUAUAACCUUUGUAAUGUUCUUCACCACAGACACCUUCUUGUGAGUUUUCAGUCUGACCGUGGGGGUGGGGGGGUGUGAAUGAAAUGGAUGUCACAGAGUGUCAUGUGUCUGAUGCAGCCUCCUUUGCUGUGUAUUAAAUGUCAAAAUCUGAAUAUAUCUGGAUAUGUACUAAUCAAAUAAUAAUCAGCGUAUACAUUUCAGCCAAAGCCAUAGAAGGAAAAGCAAUAGUUGCUUGAAUUAUGAUCAUCUACCACCAACUCUGCUCAGCCCUGUAACAGGGUAGGGAGAGGGUAUAACAGGAAAAGCUUUGACUUGUCCCUGUGUAUACAUUCUCUGUAUCUUUUGGGGUUAACUUCUUGGCAGUUUUUCAGUGUUCAGCCAUGUCAGUUGAAACUAGAUUUUUCACUUACCCAUGUGAGCCUAACACUAUCCUAUAAUUUGUUUUCUCAGGCUAUGUGUAAAUGUAGAGCCCUAAUUUUUGUAUAAAAAAACAAACUGUAUAAAGAAAAAGGGCAGUACCAAUGGAUUUUUCCGCCUUAUUUUUACCUUUGAUCUAUCCUUGCAGAUUUAACCUGUCUUCUUCUCUCCCAUUAUUCUCAUUUUCCUUUUACCUUUCUCCACCAUCCAGAACCACAAAAGCAAACCUUCUACCUCCUACCUACUUUUCUCUGGGACAAGGAUAAAGGAAUAUGAUUUUCCAGAGCCCCAGAGCCAGCUCAUCUUCCAGGUGCUGAAACCACUUUCCAAAUAAAGUAAAGCCUGGAUUUGAUAUUACACAUUUUGGGAAAUCUUAGAAUAAAGAACGAGAAAAAGGAAGUCAUUGGCUAAUAUAAUUAAGAAAGGUAGGAUUCAGUGCGUACCAAUGAUGCAGUAUUUGAUUGAUAGAGGAAAACAGUCUGGGAGGAUCGUGCUCAUUUUUCAGGUACCCUUUGAGGAGUCCCUCUGUCUUUGGGAAAGUAGCAGAAUGGCCCGCUUCUUUCCCAUGAGUGGAAAAUGUGGCUCGUCCAACUCUCCUCCAAGUUGCAUUUCAGUUUCUUUCCAAAACUUAUUACCUCUCCUAAUCCUGAGACUUUGGAAAAGGUGGAAGGAAGAACUGUUGCUUUAUCUCCCCCUCCCCGCAUGUGUCAACAUUGCGAUGUCAGUAUUUACUCAUCUACAUUCAGUGGCUGUACAAAUACUGCCGUAGUAAGAAGAGAUUCAGGAUGCUAGAGGUGAAUAUUUGGGUCAUUUACAUGUACACUACAUAGCAAGUUGAUACUCAUGUUGCAUGUUCUUUUAAAUUAGUGAUUUUGUGUCUUAAGUCUUUAACUUCCAAUAGUUUAUCAUGUAUGUAACCUUCCAUGUUUGCUUCUGAUAAAUGGAAAUGUAGAUUCACUGCCACUUCGUGGGAUAUCUCUGCUCACGCUUCCAAGUUGUUCUCAAUGACAUUAGCCAAAGUUGGGUUUGCCAUUCAUCCCCUCGGCAUGGUAAAUCUUGUGUUGUUCCCUGCCGUCCUCCGUAUUACGUGACUGGGAAAUAAAUCUCAUAGCAGUUAAUAUAAAACAUCUUCGGAGGAUGGGAGAGAACAGGAGAGAAGAUGGGAAACAAAAUAGAGAAUUUUUAAGAUUUUGUUUAAACCAAAUGUUUCAUGUAGAAUGCAAAAUGUUGGCACGUCAAAAAUAUGAAUGUGUAGACAACUGUAGUUGUGCUCAGUUUGUAGUGAUAGGAAGUGUAUUUUACUUUGAUCAAAUAAAUAAUGCUGGAAUACUCAAGAA